GACUCAGUGGUGAAGCGGCAUCGUAUCCGCUCCCUGUUCGUAAGGCGAGAAUGUUUCGUUUCUCUGGAAGACACCCGUUCGAUUCGGGGCUGGGUCA
Mycena latifolia is the source of this 97-nucleotide non-coding RNA. Lineage: Eukaryota; Fungi; Basidiomycota; Agaricomycetes; Agaricales; Mycenaceae. The record is from the annotation of a GenBank genome assembly.